UGUGAACUCGAAGAGUAGGGCGGGACACGUGGUAUCCUGUCUGAAUAUGGGGGGACCAUCCUCCAAGGCUAAAUACUCCUGACUGACCGAUAGUGAACCAGUACCGUGAGGGAAAGGCGAAAAGAACCCCGGCGAGGGGAGUGAAAAAGAACCUGAAACCGUGUACGUACAAGCAGUGGGAGCACCUUCGGGUGUGACUGCGUACCUUUUGUAUAAUGGGUCAGCGACUUAUAUUCUGUAGCAAGGUUAACCGUAUAGGGGAGCCGCAGGGAAACCGAGUCUUAACUGGGCGUUAAGUUGCAGGGUAUAGACCCGAAACCCGGUGAUCUAGCCAUGGGCAGGUUGAAGGUUGGGUAACACUAACUGGAGGACCGAACCGACUAAUGUUGAAAAAUUAGCGGAUGACUUGUGGCUGGGGGUGAAAGGCCAAUCAAACCGGGAGAUAGCUGGUUCUCCCCGAAAGCUAUUUAGGUAGCGCCUCGUGAAUUCAUCUUCGGGGGUAGAGCACUGUUUCGGCUAGGGGGUCAUCCCGACUUACCAACCCGAUGCAAACUACGAAUACCGAAGAAUGUUAUCACGGGAGACACACGGCGGGUGCUAACGUCCGUCGUGAAGAGGGAAACAACCCAGACCGCCAGCUAAGGUCCCAAAGUCAUGGUUAAGUGGGAAACGAUGUGGGAAGGCACAGACAGCCAGGAUGUUGGCUUAGAAGCAGCCAUCAUUUAAAGAAAGCGUAAUAGCUCACUGGUCGAGUCGGCCUGCGCGGAAGAUGUAACGGGGCUAAACCAUGCACCGAAGCUGCGGCAGCGACACUAUGUGUUGUUGGGUAGGGGAGCGUUCUGUAAGCCUGCGAAGGUGACCUGUGAGGGUUGCUGGAGGUAUCAGAAGUGCGAAUGCUGACAUAAGUAACGAUAAAGCGGGUGAAAAGCCCGCUCGCCGGAAGACCAAGGGUUCCUGUCCAACGUUAAUCGGGGCAGGGUGAGUCGACCCCUAAGGCGAGGCCGAAAGGCGUAGUCGAUGGGAAACAGGUUAAUAUUCCUGUACUUGGUGUUACUGCGAAGGGGGGACGGAGAAGGCUAUGUUAGCCGGGCGACGGUUGUCCCGGUUUAAGCAUGUAGGCUGGUUGUCCAGGCAAAUCCGGAUAAUCAAGGCUGAGGUGUGAUGACGAGGCACUACGGUGCUGAAGUAACAAAUGCCCUGCUUCCAGGAAAAGCCUCUAAGCAUCAGGUAACAUCAAAUCGUACCCCAAACCGACACAGGUGGUCAGGUAGAGAAUACCAAGGCGCUUGAGAGAACUCGGGUGAAGGAACUAGGCAAAAUGGUGCCGUAACUUCGGGAGAAGGCACGCUGGUGUGUAGGUGAAGCCCCUGCGGGUGGAGCUGAGACCAGUCGAAGAUACCAGCUGGCUGCAACUGUUUAUUAAAAACACAGCACUGUGCAAACACGAAAGUGGACGUAUACGGUGUGACGCCUGCCCGGUGCCGGAAGGUUAAUUGAUGGGGUUAUCCGUAAGGAGAAGCUCUUGAUCGAAGCCCCGGUAAACGGCGGCCGUAACUAUAACGGUCCUAAGGUAGCGAAAUUCCUUGUCGGGUAAGUUCCGACCUGCACGAAUGGCGUAAUGAUGGCCAGGCUGUCUCCACCCGAGACUCAGUGAAAUUGAACUCGCUGUGAAGAUGCAGUGUACCCGCGGCAAGACGGAAAGACCCCGUGAACCUUUACUAUAGCUUGACACUGAACAUUGAGCCUUGAUGUGUAGGAUAGGUGGGAGGCUUUGAAGCGUGGACGCCAGUCUGCGUGGAGCCAACCUUGAAAUACCACCCUUUAAUGUUUGAUGUUCUAACGUUGGCCCCUGACCGGGGUUGCGGACAGUGUCUGGUGGGUAGUUUGACUGGGGCGGUCUCCUCCCAAAGCGUAACGGAGGAGCACGAAGGUUAGCUAAUCCUGGUCGGACAUCAGGAGGUUAGUGCAAUGGCAUAAGCUAGCUUGACUGCGAGCGUGACGGCGCGAGCAGGUGCGAAAGCAGGUCAUAGUGAUCCGGUGGUUCUGAAUGGAAGGGCCAUCGCUCAACGGAUAAAAGGUACUCCGGGGAUAACAGGCUGAUACCGCCCAAGAGUUCAUAUCGACGGCGGUGUUUGGCACCUCGAUGUCGGCUCAUCACAUCCUGGGGCUGAAGUAGGUCCCAAGGGUAUGGCUGUUCGCCAUUUAAAGUGGUACGCGAGCUGGGUUUAGAACGUCGUGAGACAGUUCGGUCCCUAUCUGCCGUGGGCGCUGGAGAAUUGAGGGGGGCUGCUCCUAGUACGAGAGGACCGGAGUGGACGCAUCACUGGUGUUCGGGUUGUCAUGCCAAUGGCACUGCCCGGUAGCUAAAUGCGGAAGAGAUAAGUGCUGAAAGCAUCUAAGCACGAAACUUGCCCCGAGAUGAGUUCUCCCUGAGACUUUAAGUCUCCUGAAGGAACGUUGAAGACGACGACGUUGAUAGGCCGGGUGUGUAAGCGCAGCGAUGCGUUGAGCUAACCGGUACUAAUGAACCGUGAGGCUUAACCUUACAACGCCGAAG
RNAcentral lists this ribosomal RNA (2557 nucleotides) under Klebsiella pneumoniae. RNAcentral's name for it is "partial 23S ribosomal RNA". It matches the Rfam family "Bacterial large subunit ribosomal RNA", at positions 398 to 2925 of the family's 2925-position model. Lineage: Bacteria; Pseudomonadati; Pseudomonadota; Gammaproteobacteria; Enterobacterales; Enterobacteriaceae. RNAcentral also lists the same sequence under 1 other name. The record is from RNAcentral.